RNAcentral lists this ribosomal RNA (253 nucleotides) under uncultured bacterium. Its description in RNAcentral is "partial 16S ribosomal RNA". It matches the Rfam family "Bacterial small subunit ribosomal RNA", at positions 524 to 776 of the family's 1533-position model. The record is from RNAcentral.
UACGUAGGGUGCAAGCGUUAAUCGGAAUUACUGGGCGUAAAGCGUGCGCAGGCGGUUUUGUAAGUCUGACGUGAAAUCCCCGGGCUCAACCUGGGAAUUGCGUUGGAGACUGCAAGGCUAGAAUCUGGCAGAGGGGGGUAGAAUUCCACGUGUAGCAGUGAAAUGCGUAGAGAUGUGGAGGAACACCGAUGGCGAAGGCAGCCCCCUGGGUCAAGAUUGACGCUCAUGCACGGAAGCGUGGGGAGCAAACAGG